Long non-coding RNA from Cyprinus carpio carpio, 1521 nucleotides. Lineage: Eukaryota; Metazoa; Chordata; Actinopteri; Cypriniformes; Cyprinidae. The record is from Ensembl.
AGCAAGAAGAAGAAGAAGAAGACGCCUCACGCCGCCGUUGAAGAAGAAAACGCGAACGUGCUCAGGACAGUUCAGACAAUGCGGUCAAAUCAGAGGAAUUGAUGAUCCAGACAAGGCUAUCUCUCUGCACCUCAUGCGCCAGGCUGAAUAGAUGCUGACAGAGGAAGAGAGGAAGGAAUAGACUUCAAAAAGGAUGAUGUUAUUCAUACUUUAUUUAGACGUGCAGAUGAUAUGGGCUGUGAAUUAUGGCUGAUGUCUCGGGUCAGUGUCUCUUAUUUUGGUGGAGGGGAUGAUGAGAAAGUGCCCUUUUCUGGUUUUCUUUCUAUGUCUGCCUCUCACACAUCUCCAUGGCUUGAAAAGGAGCCUGAGAGGUGUGUAUAUGUGUAUGUGAAUGUGUGUAAAUAUGGUCACUAACAAGAUUACAGGCCGCAAGUGAGUGGAUGAUGGGUGGAAAAGCAACAUGUUGCACAUGUUUUAAGAAGGUAUGUUUAAGAAUAACACUCUCACACCCACACAAACCCACCGCUUUCCAGAAACAAGGAUUCAGCUUUCUUGUGGGUUUGUAAAACAGACCACUUUGCUUGUUAUUUAGCUUGACUGGUCGGUGUGGUUGUAAUGUUUUUAAACUGCUUGUAGCCAAACAGUGUGAGCCAAGCGGUGGACAUGUGGUUUUUCGGGUGGUUUAUGGGGAUGACAUUGAAGUAGGCUUGUGAAGACGUGACUAUGACACUAACAAUUGUGCAACAGCAAAUGUUGAGGAAUUGCUAGCAAUGCUAGCAGUAAUGUGUAGAUUUUAAAUUGGCCUGUUUUCUUUCCUACCACACAUUCCUGAUUUUAUUGUGCAUGGUCAAUCAGCGUGUGUCACAUUUAUCAUUGUUCAGCUAUUUUUUUUUUUUUUUUUCGGCAAAAAUCCAGUCAUUUAAUUAAAUCCACAUGAUCAGGAACUACACAUGAGGGCGAAAAAUUUCCUCACACAGAUUUCAUCACACAGUGAACAAAAAGCUACUGUGUUUGAAAGUGACUUUUGUGUAAGUUGUGCUUCAUAUUUUGCUACACUACUGAUAAUAGACGAUAUACAUUUUGUAGACAUUUUGCUAAUGUGACCACACCUUUUUUCUGAGGAGCAAAAUGGUUUCAUACUACAUGCUUAGCUUCUCCGCUAACUUGCAGUUUGGUUAAUGGGUAAUGCUAACCAGUAGCAUUGUUUUAGCAAACUCACAUUAUUUAGGUCUUACUCCAUUGUCCUCCUCCAAAAUAUGUUACAUCAAAGGUAAAACUGGUUGUACAUGCUGUUUUAGUAUUGAAUUUUAAGAUGCAAUAAUUCGUAUAUUUGUUUUCUUGGCUAAUGUGACUGUAGUUUCCGAUUUUAUACUGACAUCUGUUGGUGUGGAUGUUGCGUCAAACUAAAUCAGCUUAUUUUUAGUUACUAGCUUUCAGCCCCUCCAAGAUUUUGCAAUGUUGCGAUUACAAGAAUGAAUGCCUGAUUUCACCAACAGAAAGCACAUUAUUUUCCUGAGUGUG